AUAAGACAGAUUCUUUAAAAUGUGUAUUACUGGCAAGUAUCAUCCACAUCUGGGCACAGAAAGCAGAGAUACGCAGGUUCUAAAAUUCCUGUCCUAGCAGAUUACCAGAGGCGAAAUGCAUGCUGUCCCUUGCAGUAAAUGAUGGAGUCAGCACUCACAGUGCCAGCUUUCGCUGACACGAUCUCUGCCCUGUGGUGGGAGAGCAAGAACAUGACUUGAUCAAGUGCAUAGCGUUAGCAUCUGCCAGCUGAAGAUGCAAAUGAAUACCAUGUAAAUGGUCAUUAAUUUCGGCUUAGUGUAUAACAGAAGAGAUCUCUAAAAGGCACCAACUUAGUCAGGCCUGCUUUAGAAAACAACCAGUCUGGUCCAGCUGAGGCAGUGCAAGCAGUAGGGGCGCUAUAGAGUGAUGGUGGAGACCACGGAGGAGGCCUUGGGUUUGCUUCCUGGGUCUGCCCAAACACAUUGUUACACCUGUGAGUCUGGCUGGCUGCAGGGCUGGAGAGAGGAUUGUAGUGUGAGGACCCUGUAGAGUUUCUCUCUCUCUUAAUAAAUUUUAGAGAAAAAAAAAAGAAAGAAAAAGAAGUUUUUUGGCCGGUCAUGGUAGCACAAUGGCUACAGAUAUCAAUACUUCUCCAGGAUGCUAAGACCAUAUGAGAAGGGCUUGGAUUUGCAUCCUGAGGUCUUCCUGAGCACACCGGGCACAUCUCAGUGCCCACGAGGCUGAGGGUGGGAUCACGGCAUGAAGACCCUGUUGGGGGUACUUCUCUCUCUCUCUCUCUCUCAGGAAAUAGGUAAACUUAAAAUAAAAUGGCAUCAUUCUGAAUCCAGGAAUUAUGCAGGUAGAUACUAUGUCAUUUUAAAAAAUGUUUCUUUCUUCCAUGAGCAAGAGACAGAGAAACACAUAAAGACAUACAGAUGGCACCCCCAGAAAGGUCUUAAUUCUGCAAUCCAGCUCCAACCUUCAGCCAGCUUCAGAUCACAGGCACAUGUGACCCCGGCAUACUUAGGGAGGUCUCCAGGUUAGAAUCGGAACCUCCCAAUGGGAUUGCCUAGCAGAACAUCUCAUUUCAUGACUGUGCCACCAUCUGGCACCCUGUGUCAAAUUUUCAAGUAGGCUUUCUGAAAGUCUGAGGAAUGAGACAAAGUGAGGCAUUAGGUGAGCAAUGUUUCUUCCUGUGUGGAAAUGCAGGACGUCAAGAAAACAUGAGGUUUGCCUCAAUUCAGUUAUGGGUAACCUAUAGUCAUAUGGGUGACCUAUGGUCAUUUCCAAAUGAAAGGACGUUGGUGAAUAGGGAAUCCCUUUACGGGAGGGCCAGCAAGAUGGAUAUUUUUCCCCCACAUCUACUAACCAAGAAGUUUUAUAAACAGGAAAUGGAGUUAUUUGAGCUUCCUCAUUACUGGAAAUGUAGACUUGAUUGAAGAAAGAUGUCCAAUGAUUGUUAUUCCCUUUAGCUCUGGGAAGGAAAACUUAUUUCAGGUCUGCCUCCCAUGGCUUUUCAUUGUCCUGGAAGGAAUGUAGGGAAUAUGUAUCUGUGAAAGUAUUCAUUAUUUUAAGUUUUAUCUCACUUUCUUUGCCUUGACUAUUUCAAAACAACAGAGAAGCUGUAAAGAAAGCUGAGAACUCAGUGGGAGUUAGGGCUGAUCCAAUGAAGUUUUUUAGACCAAGUACUUUGUUCUAUUGCUUGACUUUCCUUUUUUUCGUGCUUAUAUUUUUGUCUACAACAGUCAUGUCAGUGCAUUCACUCUCUGGCCCACUUAGUGAUUAAUCCAAAAGUUCAUCAAGCAGGCAUUUGUAGAGCAUCUAUAGAUCCAGAGCUCCAAGAAACAUUGGAAGGACAUGGAAAGAAGCUUUCUGUGCUGAAGACCACUCACGAUCCUAGUAAACCAGACACAGGAUGUAACAAAAAUACCCUGUUCAUUGAUUUUUAAGUAAGUUAUACAAACUCACAGAAGUCAAAACUCAGAGUUGUGGACAGGACACAAUGAUAUUAUGCAGGACUUGAUGUUGUUGUUCUGAGGACAGGAGACUCACGGCUACAGAAUUUAGAAGGAAAGCCGUCCCAGAUCAUCAUCACAACCUUCACUCCCGUUAUCAGUUCCUCCAGAUUUUAUACCCAAAGAACUACAAUACUCUUGAAGAAGUUUCUGGAGUCAGAAUGAGCUCUUUUCAUGCAAAGUAGCAGACACUUAUUGUGUGUGGGGUUCACCUGUAAAUGAGCAUCUGAGGUCCAUUUCACGGACAAAUGUCUCUCCAUGAAGUCUUCCUCACGCUGUCUUCUGAGAUGGAGCCUAAUGCUGAACUAAUGAAGGUUAACAAUAACCUUGCUGAGUUUUUAUAGACAUCCAGCAAUGGAGAUGGGGAGGAGAAAGACUCCACCAACCUCCUCCAGUAUGACCUGCUGAGAAGACUUUAUCAGAUUUCUGAAAUUCGACCUUGUAGGGAUCCAUCUCAAUUUUUUCCUUUCAUCCUAAGGAAAUUGAAAAGGAUCAAAAUUAUAUGUCAUAUUUCUUUUGAGUGGCACAGAUGAAAGGCACUCAGUGACUUCUCUGUCCGCGCACAAGCGUUCCUCUCAGGGGAACGUGUUCUCUGUGAGAUCCCUGCCGACCUUUGCAGCCGGUAGGGGCCCAGGCUCAGGUGCAUCAUGGAAAAUGAAGGCUGCACGUGGGCCGCAUUCAAACAGUGUGCUGUGGCCUCCUGCCCGUGUGGAGGUUUGGAGAAGGUCAGAACACAUCUGGUUCUAGUCUAUCCUCACAGUUUGAGCAGGAAAAAACAGGUUCUGAGGAUGCCGGUUUUCAACCAGUGAGAAGGGAGCCAUGAGGCUGACUUUUACAAGGAAAUUAAGUUCAGAGUAUUUUAGUAUUUUUUUCCCUUUCUAUGAAUGUGAACUGAUCUUUGACAUUCAUCAUUUCAAGCUGCAAACAUAAAACCUCAAAUUGGUAGAGGGUGCUUGACCCGUCAUCAGUCUCGCAGGGGCACGCUAUGAAAUGGCAGUACGGUACCGCUGGCCCUCCAUAUCUGGGGGCUCCGUGUCCUCAGAUUCAACCAACCUGAGACUGAGCCUGCAGUGUAAGACUCAGGUUUUGACUCUGUGGGCAUCACAGAUCCAAUACUCCUUGCGCACUGACGGGUAUUUGCUCUUAUUAGGAAAUAUGUAGCCUCUUAACUUUAGGUUCAAAAGUUUGCCCAGACCCCAAGUCCUGAAUAACAAGCAAGCCAAAAAACAAACAAAAAAAACUAGCUGACAUUGCUGUCUCUGAAGCUGCAAUCUCAUCUUACACUUGUAAUUUCUUCUUGUCCCUUUUCAUCUAUCUCGGAUUUAUAUCCAACGUCCCAUUUGACUGUCUUCACUCUACCCUCAACUAUGUUCUGAUUUUCACACUAAUCAUCCCAUCAAACUCAAUUUCUCCACCCAGGGGGGCUGAUGCUUAAAUUCUAUGUCUUUGACAUCAGAGAAAGGAUUGACCUUGACAUCCAUCUGCUUCUUUUUCAUCUUUUUAAAAGUUUCUUUCUUUUUUUUUUAAUGAGAGUGAGAGACUGACUAGCAUUCCCAACAGGGUCUCACACUGUGGCCCACCUCCACGCCUUUUCAGUUAGCCAGGAUCAUGGAGGUAUGCGUCCAGAGUGUGUAUGGACCAGCUGGGAAACCGAUGACCUUGCAUAUAGAUCCAGCCUAGCUUUAAUAGCACGUUAUGGCUGUGCCACCGAGCUAGCUUCCAAUAUGCUUCUUUUUCAUUUGUUUUCGUUUUUGCUAUAGAGCACACACACUCACCAGAGAGAGACAGA
Tupaia belangeri chinensis (Chinese tree shrew) is the source of this 3784-nucleotide long non-coding RNA. RefSeq lists it as uncharacterized. NCBI's taxonomy places the organism in Eukaryota, Metazoa, Chordata, Mammalia, Scandentia, Tupaiidae. The record is from RefSeq and is a predicted model, not a curated record. The transcript is spliced from 5 exons.